UGCCAGCCGCCGCGGUAAUACGGAGGGGGUUAGCGUUGUUCGGAAUUACUGGGCGUAAAGCGCACGUAGGCGGAUUAGUAAGUUAGGGGUGAAAUCCCGGGGCUCAACCCCGGAACUGCCUCUAAUACUGCUAGUCUUGAGUUCGAGAGAGGUGAGUGGAAUUCCGAGUGUAGAGGUGAAAUUCGUAGAUAUUCGGAGGAACACCAGUGGCGAAGGCGCUGGCCUGGACGGCAUCUGACGCUGAGGUGCGAAAGCGUGGGGAGCAAACAGGAUUAGAUA
Molecule: ribosomal RNA, 279 nt
Filed under: uncultured bacterium
Lineage: Bacteria
Description: partial 16S ribosomal RNA
Rfam family: Bacterial small subunit ribosomal RNA
Source: RNAcentral